Molecule: long non-coding RNA, 510 nt
Filed under: Homo sapiens (human)
Lineage: Eukaryota; Metazoa; Chordata; Mammalia; Primates; Hominidae
Description: non-protein coding lnc-IRF4-2:6
Source: RNAcentral
GACCGGCGCGGGUGCUGGAGGUCAGCAGGGGCCGUGGGCGGUGGACGCUGGAAUGCCUUGGGUUCCGAGGGACCCAGCUGCCUGAAUGGACACGAGUAGGAGGUUUUUGCUGGGCGUCUUUGCGGUGGCGGGAAGCGGUGAGGGAGGGAAAGAAGGAUACAAGCUCAAGGGGCAGGCCGGGUGCACCAUCCAUCCCCGUGCCCUCGGGUCAUCUCAGGGAGACUGUGGGAUGAUAGUGCGUUUGUGGGCCACAGUUCACAACGAUGGGCCCUGCAUCGGGUCAGAGGACCCCUCCGGAACAGGGGGAUGCACAAGGUCAAGAGAAUGCAUGGAAUCAGAGGGCUGCACCAGGUCAGGGGGGCUGCACCGAGACCAGAGGAAGCAUCAGGUCAGGAGGAUGCACUGGAGUGUGCAUCCCCAGGGGGCCACACUGGGUAAGGAGGAUGCACCAGGUUAGGAGGCAGCACUGGGUCAGAAGGAUGCACUGGAAUCAGGGGACUGUACCAGGUU